Molecule: transfer RNA, 85 nt
Filed under: Felis catus (domestic cat)
Lineage: Eukaryota; Metazoa; Chordata; Mammalia; Carnivora; Felidae
Also listed under: 2 other names
Rfam family: tRNA
About the family: Transfer RNA (tRNA) molecules are approximately 80 nucleotides in length. Their secondary structure includes four short double-helical elements and three loops (D, anti-codon, and T loops).
Source: Rfam by way of RNAcentral
GCCUGGGUGGCUCAGUCGGUUGAGCGUCCGACUUUGGCUCAGGUCAUGAUCUCGUGGUUUGUGAGUUCGAGCCUCACUCUGUGCU